AGGUUGUCUUUUUGUUUUACUUGUGGUUUCCUUUGCCGUGCAAAAACUUUGAAACUUACUUAGGUCCCAUUUGUUUAUUUUUGCUUUUAUUUCCUUUACUCUAAAAGACAGAUCCAAAAAAAAAUAUUGCUGCAAUUCAUAUCAGAGUGUUCUGGCUAUGUUUUCCUCUAGGAGUUUUGUA
Molecule: non-coding RNA, 181 nt
Organism: Vicugna pacos (alpaca)
Lineage: Eukaryota; Metazoa; Chordata; Mammalia; Artiodactyla; Camelidae
Source: RefSeq, a predicted model, not a curated record